Transfer RNA from Microbotryum lychnidis-dioicae p1A1 Lamole, 72 nucleotides. It matches the Rfam family "tRNA". Rfam says of the family: Transfer RNA (tRNA) molecules are approximately 80 nucleotides in length. The record is from Rfam. NCBI's taxonomy places the organism in Eukaryota, Fungi, Basidiomycota, Microbotryomycetes, Microbotryales, Microbotryaceae.
GCUAGUAUAGUUCAGCGGUUAGAACCUGUCUUUCAUACAGACGUAACGUAAGUUCAAUUCUUACUACUAGCC